Long non-coding RNA from Aquila chrysaetos chrysaetos, 669 nucleotides. RefSeq lists it as uncharacterized. The record is from RefSeq and is a predicted model, not a curated record. The transcript has 2 exons. Lineage: Eukaryota; Metazoa; Chordata; Aves; Accipitriformes; Accipitridae.
UAGGGUGCACUGAAGCCAUCGAGCGCCUCUUUCUCCGCAGGAACCGAAGCCCUACCGUGGAAGAUGGCCCUUCAACCACAGGCUCACCGGUGCACCUUCUCCGUGGGCACAGAGGGAGGUGCUGGGGAAGGAACAUCUUCUGCAAGAAAUCAGUGCAAGCUUUGAGAACCUGGGGUAACCUAUGCCCUCCCCUGGAGCUUUUGUCAUCUUGACAGCAAGUUUGUGCUAAAGGGUCAAAUGCCAAUUUCAAAGAAAAAGAAAAAGGAAAAAAAAAAAUACCCCAAGAACUGGAACAAGGGAAACUCUGUCUGGUACUUCUUUCCAGCCAAAGAACUCUUUAAUAGCAAACUAUUAGACAAAUCCCAGGCCUGGGGGGUUGUUACAGAGGUUUUGGAUUCUUACCAGAAUUUUUUUUUUUUGUGUGUCUCCAAACCUGUAUUGUCUGAAUGCAGCUGAAAAGAAGAAUCAUUCAGUGUAAUGAGAAGUUUUGCCACUAUCAUGGAAGUCCGUAUUUCUGAUGGGAUGUGUGAUCCUUAAUUGUCAAGGGAGCUGACUGUUAAAUAUCAUUUAUUAAUAAAUUGUAAGAAGAGAAGUCUGAAACCUUUGAAAUGCAGAUUGUCAGCUCUGUAGUUAGACCUGAACUGAAAUGAUAAAUUCCAGAAGUCAAAA